This is a microRNA precursor of Homo sapiens (human), 109 nucleotides long. Ensembl annotates it as microRNA 6131. The record is from Ensembl. Lineage: Eukaryota; Metazoa; Chordata; Mammalia; Primates; Hominidae.
UCCCGCAUUCCCUCUGCUUUGGUCAGGUGGUGCCCUCCUUCCAUGGGUAGAGCCAGAGAUGGUGGGUUCUGGCUGGUCAGAUGGGAGUGGACAGAGACCCGGGGUCCUC